GGGGGGUUUCUCACCAUGUUCCUUUGGAGGUUGCUGUGGCUCUUCAUGUUCAUGGGGUGGUUUAUGUUCCGGCAGUGGCUUCUCUCCUUUACCCUUAGGAGGCUCCUGGGGUGGUUUAUGCUCUGGAAAUGGCUUUCCUCCUUUACCUUCAUCAUCCUCCAUCAAAAUGUGUCCAGGGUGAGGAUCAUGAGGAGGCUUAUCCUCUUUGGGUGGUUUCUCACCAUGUUCCUUUGGAGGUUGUUGUGGUCCUUCAUGUUCUGGAGGUGGUUUCUCUCCCUUACCCUUAGGAGGCUCUUGGGGUGGUUCGUGUUCUAGAGGUGGCUUCUCUCCCUUACCUUUAGGAAGCUCUUGGGGUGGUUUCUCACCAUGUUCCUUUGGAGGUUGUUGUGGUCCUUCAUGUUCAUGGGGUGGUUCAUGUUCUGGAGGUGGCUUCUCUCCCUUACCCUUAGGAGGCUCUUGGGGUGGCUUCUCUCCCUGACCUUUAGGAGGCUCUUGCUGCGGUUUAUGCUCUGGGAAUGGUUUCCCUCCUCUACCCUCAUCAUCCUCUAUCAAAAUGUGUCCAGGAUGAGGAUCAUGUGGAGGUUUCUGCUCCGGUGGUGGCUUUUCACCCUUUCCUCUAGGUGGCUCUUGUGGCUCCUCAUGUUCAGGAGGUGGUUUAUCGCCUUUACCCCUAGGAGGCUCAUGAGGUGGUUCUUGUUCUGGAG
Molecule: long non-coding RNA, 704 nt
Filed under: Jatropha curcas
Lineage: Eukaryota; Viridiplantae; Streptophyta; Magnoliopsida; Malpighiales; Euphorbiaceae
Description: long non-coding RNA (JCUR_LNC001011)
Source: RNAcentral